RNAcentral lists this ribosomal RNA (253 nucleotides) under uncultured bacterium. Its description in RNAcentral is "partial 16S ribosomal RNA". It matches the Rfam family "Bacterial small subunit ribosomal RNA", at positions 524 to 776 of the family's 1533-position model. The record is from RNAcentral.
UACGUAGGGUGCGAGCGUUAAUCGGAAUUACUGGGCGUAAAGCGUGCGCAGGCGGUUCGUUAAGUCAGAUGUGAAAGCCCCGGGCUCAACCUGGGAACUGCAUUUGAAACUGGCGGGCUUGAGUGCGGCAGAGGGGGGUGGAAUUCCGCGUGUAGCAGUGAAAUGCGUAGAGAUGCGGAGGAACACCCGUGGCGAAGGCGGCUCUCUGGCCCGAUACUGACGCUGAGGCACGAAAGCGUGGGGAGCAAACAGG